AUUUAUCCAAAACUACUCUGUACACCCCAGAUGUGCAGUUAAUGCCAAUUAAUCUGCUGCAGCAGACGUCUUUAUUCCAUUUGCAAAAAACUUCCUAUCAACAACAGGCCAAUGAGUUGGCGUUUCAGCCCAUCAUUCAGCCAGUCAGCCAAGCGGAUGGUUUUCCUUCAGCGUACGCUCCUCAAAUAGCCCAGGAAAAUCUACCAUGCACGCUGAACAAGAAACCUCUGGCCUUGACAUAUGGAGUGUGCAUCGAAAGCCCAAGAUGCAUCAACAGGAGGAAUUCUCAGCCAGACCAGAUGCUGCAGGAUAUUUCUCCUGAAAGGUUUGUCAGUGGCAAACUUAAAACCAAGACACCAGGCGAAAGGUACUGUGAUGAGAACUACAAGGAGCAGAGGCCGAAGCUGGUAGAGAGAGGAUUAUGGGAAAGCCGUGACACUGACUUGACAGGAUCGGUGUUCUCCAUGGGGCCAGCGCAGCAGCUGAUGCUCCAGACAGACUGUGAGGAAGCUAAGCUGUACAUGCCCCAGCAGUCACUGUCUCUGCUGCAGGAAGGAGGAAACUACAGAUGGCAGAUGGCAGGGUUGCUGCCAUUGCUGUCCUCGCUGACAGUUGACACAAACUCUGUCUCAGAGGAUGGACUUCCUCCAUCAUCAUCCUCCCCCUUACUAAAGUCAGUCUGUACCUGCGAUGACCUCCCCGGGGAAUGCAGCACAGGCCAGUUGAUGUCAUUAGAUUCAUUGUCAUAUCCUGAAAACAAACAGAAGCCUCCGGACUUUCAAACAACAGAUGUGCUACCGGCAGCAAGGGAGCCAGGCUGCCUAGAACUAAACGCCAUUGCACCCCAUGCCUCUAGCUCCAUCCAGAACACUGACAUGCUUUUCACUAUGUUGUUCAGAGACUUGGAUUUAAAGGUACAGUGGGAGCAUGGCCAGAAUGAAAACACACUGAUGUGUUAGCACAGCAUUGAAUGAUCUCUAAGGGCCGGAUUCUGCCAACCUUUACUCACA
RNAcentral lists this long non-coding RNA (1010 nucleotides) under Chrysemys picta bellii (western painted turtle). RNAcentral's name for it is "lncRNA (ENSCPBG00000011710.1)". Lineage: Eukaryota; Metazoa; Chordata; Testudines; Emydidae. The record is from RNAcentral.